RNAcentral lists this ribosomal RNA (801 nucleotides) under uncultured bacterium. RNAcentral's name for it is "bacterial SSU rRNA". It matches the Rfam family "Bacterial small subunit ribosomal RNA", at positions 60 to 856 of the family's 1533-position model. The record is from RNAcentral.
AGUCGAGGGGCAGCGCGAGGUAGCAAUACUUUGGCGGCGACCGGCGCACGGGUGCGUAACACGUAUGUAACUUACCUCUUACAACCGGAUAACACGGUGAAAGUCGUGCUAAUAUGGUAUAGUUUCACAUUUUUGCAUGAGAAGGUGAAUAAAGAUUUAUCGGUAAGAGAUAGACAUGCGGUCCAUUAGAUAGUUGGUGAGGUAACGGCUCACCAAGUCGACGAUGGAUAGGGGGACUGAGAGGUUGACCCCCCACACUGGUACUGAGACACGGACCAGACUCCUACGGGAGGCAGCAGUGAGGAAUAUUGGUCAAUGGGCGAGAGCCUGAACCAGCCAAGUCGCGUGAAGGAAGACGGUUCAUAAGGAUUGUAAACUUCUUUUGUAGAGGGGUAAAGGUGCGUACGUGUACGCAUUUGCAAGUACUCUACGAAUAAGUAUCGGCUAACUCCGUGCCAGCAGCCGCGGUAAUACGGGGGAUACGAGCGUUAUCCGGAAUUAUUGGGUUUAAAGGGUGCGUAGGUGGCUAUUUAAGUCAGGGGUGAAAAGCAUGAGCUCAACUCAUGUCUUGCCUUUGAAACUGGACAGCUAGAGAAGAGACGAGGUAUGUGGAAUGUGUGGUGUAGCGGUGAAAUGCAUAGAUAUCACACAGAACUCCGAUUGCGCAGGCAGCGUACUAGACUUAUUCUGACACUGAAGCACGAAAGCGUGGGUAUCAAACAGGAUUAGAUACCCUGGUAGUCCACGCAGUAAACGAUGAAUACUAGUUUUUUGCGAUAUACGGUAAGAGACUAAGCGAAA